UGAGGAAUUUUGCACAAUGGGGGAAACCCUGAUGCAGCAACGCCGCGUGAGUGAUGAAGGUUUUCGGAUCGUAAAGCUCUAUCUUUGGGGAAGAUAAUGACGGUACCCAAGGAGGAAGCCACGGCUAACUACGUGCCAGCAGCCGCGGUAAUACGUAGGUGGCGAGCGUUAUCCGGAUUUACUGGGCGUAAAGGGAGCGUAGGCGGAUGAUUAAGUGGGAUGUGAAAUACCCGGGCUCAACUUGGGUGCUGCAUUCCAAACUGGAAGUCUAGAGUGCAGGAGAGGAGAAUGGAAUUCCUAGUGUAGCGGUGAAAUGCGUAGAGAUUAGGAAGAACACCAGUGGCGAAGGCGAUUCUCUGGACUGUAACUGACGCUGAGGCUCGAAAGCGUGGGGAGCAAACA
RNAcentral lists this ribosomal RNA (402 nucleotides) under uncultured prokaryote. Its description in RNAcentral is "bacterial SSU rRNA". It matches the Rfam family "Bacterial small subunit ribosomal RNA", at positions 355 to 774 of the family's 1533-position model. The record is from RNAcentral.